UAGCUCAGUCGAUAGAACACAAGGUUUUCAACCUUAAGGUCGUGGGUUCUAGUCCCAC
Molecule: transfer RNA, 58 nt
Filed under: Zea mays
Lineage: Eukaryota; Viridiplantae; Streptophyta; Magnoliopsida; Poales; Poaceae
Rfam family: tRNA
About the family: Transfer RNA (tRNA) molecules are approximately 80 nucleotides in length. Their secondary structure includes four short double-helical elements and three loops (D, anti-codon, and T loops).
Source: Rfam by way of RNAcentral